RNAcentral lists this ribosomal RNA (503 nucleotides) under uncultured bacterium. RNAcentral describes it as "partial 16S ribosomal RNA". It matches the Rfam family "Bacterial small subunit ribosomal RNA", at positions 30 to 523 of the family's 1533-position model. The record is from RNAcentral.
AUUGAACGCUGGCGGCAGGCUUAACACAUGCAAGUCGAGCGGGGUGAUGGUGCUUGCACUAUCACUUAGCGGCGGACGGGUGAGUAAUGCUUAGGAAUCUGCCUAUUAGUGGGGGACAACAUCUCGAAAGGGAUGCUAAUACCGCAUACGUCCUACGGGAGAAAGCAGGGGAUCACUUGUGACCUUGCGCUAAUAGAUGAGCCUAAGUCGGAUUAGCUAGUUGGUGGGGUAAAGGCCUACCAAGGCGACGAUCUGUAGCGGGUCUGAGAGGAUGAUCCGCCGCACGGGGACUGAGACACGGCCCGGACUCCUACGGGAGGCAGCAGUGGGUAAUAUUGGACAAUGGGGGGAACCCUGAUCCAGCCAUGCCGCGUGUGUGAAGAAGGCCUUAUGGUUGUAAAGCACUUUAAGCGAGGAGGAGGCUCUUUUGGUUAAUACCCAAGAUGAGUGGACGUUACUCGCAGAAUAAGCACCGGCUAACUCUGUGCCAGCCGCCGCAGUAA